AGAAAUAUGUCUGAUAAUAGAGUUACUUUGAUAGAGUAAAACAUAGAGGUUUAAAUCCUCUUAUUUCUA
This 69-nucleotide transfer RNA is filed under the name Murina shuipuensis. Its description in RNAcentral is "tRNA-Ile". It matches the Rfam family "tRNA". Rfam says of the family: Transfer RNA (tRNA) molecules are approximately 80 nucleotides in length. Their secondary structure includes four short double-helical elements and three loops (D, anti-codon, and T loops). The record is from RNAcentral. Lineage: Eukaryota; Metazoa; Chordata; Mammalia; Chiroptera; Vespertilionidae.